Molecule: long non-coding RNA, 1272 nt
Filed under: Equus caballus (horse)
Lineage: Eukaryota; Metazoa; Chordata; Mammalia; Perissodactyla; Equidae
Description: lncRNA (ENSECAG00000055484.1)
Source: RNAcentral
UUUCUUUUUCUGUCUUCUAGAAGAGUUCUCACCGGUUGUGGCCACUAACUGGGCCUUCUCUUUAUUUCUCAAUAUUUACUUCUUUAGCAAAAUAUUCUUCUUUCUUUUACAGAAAUAUUCUUCCUAUGUGGAGUCGGAGUUCUGUCAACUAUUACUGCUGUUCUUGCCUUAACCCAGGCCAGCCACCCAGCCUGACCACCUGCUUGUCAUUUCCUUAGGCCCACUGCUCCAAGGAAAUCCUUCCUUUCUCCACUGUGUGGAAUUAGAGCAUGAGUAUUUGAUAAAUAAGGCAUAAGGAAAACAUUUAAAAGGCAGCAAAAAAUAACAGAGCUUUAUUUUUUCUGCUGUUUUUUUACUUUCCAGAUCCCCCCAGUAUAUAGUUGUAUAUUUUAGUUGUGGGUCCUUCUAGUUGUGGCAUGUGGGACACCGCCUCACUGUGGCCUGAUGAGCGGUGCCAUGUCCACGCCCAGGAUCUGAACCAGUGAAACCCUGGGCCGCCAAAGCGGAGCACAAGAACUUAACCACUCAGCCAAGGGGCUAGCCCCUAACAGAGCUUUUGUUAACUGAAUUAAUGUCACAAAUUUUAGGUAAACUUGUUUUUUUAGGGGUUAUUCCAGGUGCAGAUCAGAAACAGAAUUUUGGCAAAUAUUUAUUGAUCUCCAACUUUAUGCCAAAAACUCAGCUGAGUGCUAAGGACACAGCCAUAAACAAGACAAAUGUGGGUCUCUGCCCUCACAGAGCUCAGAAUGCAGAGGACAAGCAGGAAAGACAAAUGCCAAAGAAAUAUUUAUAAUAAAAUGUAAAGGCAAGGGUGAGGUGGAACCUUUGGAAGGUAAGUAGAUUUGGAUGAGUUCAUGAGAAUGGAGCCCCCAGGACGGGAUUAGCAUCCUAAUAAGAAGAGGAGGAGACCAGAGCUCGCUUUCUCUCCAACAUAUGAGGAUACAGCCAGAAGGCAGCUGUGUGCAAGCCAGGAAGAGAACCCUCAUCAAGCCAAACCUGCCAGCAUCUUGAUCUUGGACUCCCAGCCUCCAGAACUGUGAAAAAUAAAUGUCUGCUGUUUAAGCCACCUCGUCUGUGGUAUUUUUGGUAUAGCAGCCCAGGCUGACUAAAACAACUCCCUUCCACAGUGUAAAGUAGUGCUACUCAAAGUGUGGGCCAUGGACUAAUGCCCGUCUGCAAACUGUUUGUUAGUGGUCCAUAACGAGACUAAGCACAGAAAUUGAGAGUUUAAGUAUUCAGAAAUUUACAGAAUUUUGGUCAAGUAAUUUUAUG